Molecule: long non-coding RNA, 1957 nt
Organism: Sorghum bicolor (sorghum)
Lineage: Eukaryota; Viridiplantae; Streptophyta; Magnoliopsida; Poales; Poaceae
Exons: 5
Source: RefSeq, a predicted model, not a curated record
UGCAGCUUCUUCCCCUUUCCGAUGGUUUCCGACUCUGACCCCGACGCCCUCCUCCUCCUCUCCGCUCGCUCCCUCUCUCGAUCGAUGCGGACGGCGACGGAGUGCACGAGCGGGGCAGCGCAGCUGCGGGCUCCCUCCUCCCCCUCCCCCGGCGUGCUCUCUCCUCUCCCUCUCUCUCUCUCCUUUCUGCUCGAUCUCUCUCUCCCUCGAUGCGGCCAGGGCAACGGCAGCCGGGGCGCGCCAACAGGGCGACACGGCUAUGACCGUCGUCCUCUUCCCACUCGGUGGUCGGUGCGUUGUGCGCCACAUCCUUCCUCUGCUCCACCUGUAUUCUUGUGCUACAGGAAACCCUAGGUGCUUGUGGUAGAGGUCGCGAGGAUUCGCGGAAGCGCUGCCCUGCGUUUUUUGACUCCGAUCGGAAUCAGAACGGCACGUCCAUGGUUGCAGCGGCACUCCCUUUCACUCGAUGUUACUGCUCCCAUGGCGCCCCUGCUCAGGCUGUGCUCGCACACAAGCUUCGAUUGAAUUUUUGUGCCACCAACAUUUUUGAUUUCAGUGCGUUGUUUUAGCUGCCCAAAUUGAUGUCAACAAUAUUUCAUUCAAUUAAAUGUGGUUUACCAUAUGCCUGCCUUUCAGGUUAGCGUAGCUGAAAUCUGUUUGAGAUUAAAUGUGUAGGCACAUGUGCAUGACCAAAGCUGAAUAAUAGUCUGUUCUUAUUUGAAUGCUUCCUUCAUAUGUUUUUACUCUUAUUUAUCCUUUCUUGAUACUUCUACCAGAGCUAUGUCAAUCCAUUGAUUUAGGUUAUUGUUCCAUAAUUAUGAUUUAGGUAUCUGGUUUCCCCUGCAUGUGUAUGUUCCACCAUCCAUGACAAAUUUAUGUGUCCUGAACAAUGAUUUCCUUAUUUCCAGACAUGUGCCUACUCCUCUAUUUCCUAUUUUUGAUUAAAUAUAAUAGUCUUCUUCCACUUUCCUAUAGUUCAGUUUUUCUUUUUUUGGUCAGAUUUGUAGGUUCCUUCAAAUAAUUAUUUUACGCCUGUGCAAAAAUAAGCAAGGAGGUGGCUAUUUGUGCAUAUGACAACAAAUCCCACUUGAUGGUACGGGGAGCAAAAAGACAAAAGGAAAUCAUGGUAUUUUCCUUGCUUGAGGUAUUUCCUUUCGGUGAUUAUAUAUGGUUUGGUUCUUUUCGGAUGCCAGCGGCAAUCAUGUUCGUGGUCUUUGUGUGCAAGAUGACACAAUGUUGAUGGCUGAAGCUCUUAUGUCAUAGUUACAUUCAAUCGGAUAACAAGCAAGAGAUGAAAAAGGAUUUAGCAAGCAUUGAAACUGAAUGGACAGGUGAAGAGAUUAACUCUGACAUGCUUGUUUAAUUUAUUAUUCAGUGGCGCAUAAACAGCUACAGUUCACAAUACUCGGUCAAACCAUGUCUUUUCUGUUUAACUUCGAACAAAGUUAGCUUCUACAAUUUAGCAGUUCCAGUGCCCAUGUGUCUGCAACAACCAUUGCUUGCUGCUGCACCUCAUAGAAGUUGUAUGUGUUGCUUCUGUGUACAAAGGAACUGGCAACCCCUCCACAUAACUUGGGAAAAACACUCAUCCAGCACGCAAAGCACUUACAGUGGGCUUUCCAAUCUUGAGCCAAGAUAAUGUUCAAACACAAGUCCUUCCCUCACCAAUUAAGAAGAAUCUCCAGCUGGGAAACUGAGGAUUCAUUCGCGGAAUUAUUAGACCACCAGCCAAAAUCAUUAGGGACUGCUCCAGCGAAGUUGUUGCUAUAACCUAAAUGUCAAUGUAUAUAGUACAACUGAUUCCAUAUAUCCCACAUGUAAAAUAUGCUUGCCAAUGACCACAAACCUAGAACCUGAAAAACAUUCAUGUACAAAACAUACUUAUUACCUGCUCUGUUCAAUCUUCAAUUAUCAGUUGUGCGCGCGAUGGCGCGCGCCCUUCACUAGUCAAAACAAA